UAGUCAUAUGCUUGUCUCAAAGAUUAACCCUUUCAUGUCUAAGUAUAAGCAAUCUAUACGGUGAAACUGCGAAUGGCUCAUUAAAUCAGUUAUCGUUUAUUUGAUAGUACCUUACUACUUGGAUAACCGUGGUAAUUCUAGAGCUAAUACAUGCUAAAAACCCCGACUUCGGAAGGGGUGUAUUUAUUAAAUAAAAAACCAAUGCCCUUCGGGGCUCCUUGGUGAUUCAUAAUAACUUAACAAAUCGCAUGGCCUUGUGCCGGCAAUGGUUCAUUCAAAUUUCUGCCCUAUCAACUUUCGAUUGUAAGGUAGUGGCUUACAAUGGUUUCAACGGGUAACGGGAAAUUAGGGUUCUAUUCCGGAGAGGGAGCCUGAGAAACGGCUACCACAUCCAAGGAAGGCAGCAGGCGCGCAAAUUACCCAAUCCCGACACGGAGAGGUAGUGACAAUAAAUACUGAUACAGGGCUCUUUUGGGUCUUGUAAUUGGAAUGAGUACAAUUUAAAUCCCUUAACGAGGAUCCAUU
Molecule: ribosomal RNA, 525 nt
Filed under: uncultured eukaryote
Lineage: Eukaryota
Description: SSU rRNA
Rfam family: Eukaryotic small subunit ribosomal RNA
Source: RNAcentral